Molecule: ribosomal RNA, 501 nt
Filed under: uncultured bacterium
Lineage: Bacteria
Description: bacterial SSU rRNA
Rfam family: Bacterial small subunit ribosomal RNA
Source: RNAcentral
AUGGCUCAGGAUGAACGCUAGCUACAGGCUUAACACAUGGCAAGGUUGAGGGGCAGCAGGGAUUUAGCUUGCUAAAUCCGCUGGCGACCGGCGCACGGGUGCGUAACGCGUAUCCAACCUUCCCGUUACUCUGGGAUAGCCUUCCGAAAGGGAGAUUAAUACCUGAUGGUGUUUGAAAUUCGCAUGUUCUUCAAACUAAAGAUUUAUCGGUAACGGAUAGGGAUGCGUGACAUUAGAUAGUAGGCGGGGUAACGGCCCACCUAGUCUACGAUGUCUAGGGGUUCUGAGAGGAAGGUCCCCCACACUGGAACUGAGACACGGUCCAGACUCCUACGGGAGGCAGCAGUGAGGAAUAUUGGUCAAUGGUCGGAAGACUGAACCAGCCAAGUAGCGUGAAGGAUGAAGGUUCUAUGGAUUGUAAACUUCUUUUAUACGGGAAUAAAACCUCCCACGUGUGGGAGCUUGUAUGUACCGUAUGAAUAAGCAUCGGCUAACUCCGUG